UUUUGGAGGAAAAAUUGAGGUAUGAAGGAUGGAAAUCUACUAAGUUAGUGAUCCACGAGUUGAUCCAAGACUUGUGGGUGGGACUAUAACUCGUGAGUGGGCCUGUGACUUGAGUUCUGAAGCUGAAAAGCAAAGUACGAUUACUAUGAGAUGAACCAUAACAUAUAACUUCUACCCACAACUCAUGGGUAGUUUUCAUGAGUCAAGUACUGAUGAUUGAACCUGAGCAUGAUUUUCAUGAUUUAGAGCAAUGACUCAUUGAUCUGAUCCAUUACUCAACCCAUGAGUCGUAAGGUGCUGCCGACCUACCUUUCCUACAUAAUUUAUGACAGAAUUCAUGUUGUAUCUAUAAGUACUCCCAUGAUAUAUUAUGAUUAUCUUACACACGAAAUUAUUUUGAGGUUCUUAGACACAUUAUUAAUCUAUAAACUCUUGAUAUUGGUUUUUAAGGUUUAAAUCAGUUUGAGAUUUAUGUUUUUUCAUCUUAUUCAUAUAAGUGCACAAUAAUGCUUUCAUACAUGGAUUCUUAUAACAUUUAUACGAUCAUGAGUAUCUUAUCCCCAUAACUGGGGUUAUGGUAACCGUGAUGAAUUAACACUCUAUGACUGGCUUAUUUUGAAAAUGAAAUUGGACUACUUUAUUUCUGCAAUCAACUGAGUCAGACAAAAGUGGAGCCAAUGUAUGAAAAGAAUAAUAUCAAAAUCAGUAAUGUCUAACUCUACAAGAUCGACUAAAGUGACAUUUUGGUAUAUUGUGACUGGGUAAUUUCUAUAUACCCAUCUAGCUAUGAUACAACUACAGACUAGAGUAGAAACUAAGAAGGGUUCUUCUAGGAUUUCGGGACCGACACCAAAAUCUACUACUAUAAAGGGAGUCACAAAGGAAUGACUCAUGGAUCUAAUAAUACAUAAAAGUUAAGGUGAAAGACAUGUAAUGUACCAGUAAACAUAUCAGGAUAACCCUCCUAAUAUUGUCGACUAUGAAUGGCAUAAAAGUUAUCCUAAUGUUAUCUACCAGUUGUAGUAGAGUGGCACCCUGCUGAGUCGGGUGACCUGCUGGAGUCAUUGAAGACUUAGUCUGGCUUGAUUGACUAUGAUUCCUACCUCUGCACACCUAUUGACCAUCCCUUACUCUAUAUCCUGACUUGCCACACUCGAUAUUGGUAUCACUAUUAGCCAUGCACUCACCCUUAUGGCUCCUACCAUAUCUCUAGAAAAUUGGGAUUAUGUGAAAACUAUUCACACUGCUCUAAGACUUAGAGCAUGGAGCUCUAUCUCGAGUAUCUUGUCUGAACUUAGGCACUGGAACACUAGUAGAAGAUGGGAUAGGAGAUAAAGAUUUUAGGUAGAAUUGAGAGAGAUUUCCACCAUCUAACCUCUACUUAGAGAAAUUAAAAGUAGCAGUUCUAGACCUCUUAUUCUUCCUUUACUUUUAUUUGAUCUUCUCUACCUUAAUUUGUUAAUCAUGGACUGUUAGUCGGGAGAUAUCCAUCUCCUUAACUACCAUGUCCAUCCUACACUUCUUCACCACAUCCUUGAAAACACCCGACAUAAACUUACUUAUCCAGGCACUGUAAUCGACCAUUAUAGUUGGAGAAUACCUCACCAACUAAGUAAAAUUAAGUGAAUACUCCUUAACACUCACACUACCCCAUUUUAAGUUGAUGAACUCCUACACUUUAGCUUUCCCCAACUCAAAUAGGAAGAACCAAUCAAGAAAUGAUAUAACAAAAUCAUCCCACUCUACUGACCCUGCACCUGUACCUCUAUCCUCCUUCUACUAAAUACCAGUUGUUAGCCACUCCUUGUAAUUAAUAGGUAGCCAAAUUAGUACUUUUACUAGAAGUGACACCCAUGAUCUUAGUCACUUUUUUAAAACUAUCCAAGAACUCCUGUCGAUCAUCUUUUGUCUUAGAUUCUAAGAACACCUGAGGAUUCAUCCGAGUGAAGUCCCAAUUUCUACUUAUCGACGUGUUCGUUGUUGGUUUGGCCGGGUUAAUAUCCUGAUGGUUAUUUUGAGUAGUAAUGGAUUGGGAUAAUACUGUGAAAGCAAUGCUAAUCUCAGCAUGAGAGACCUACUCAUUCAGAGAGUCUUUGAGAAUUGGCUGUGGUGCUUGUUGAUUUUCAUCUCUCUUUCUAUUAGUUCUCUUAGGAGGAAUUUACUGUGAAUAGAUAGAGGAUGGGUUAGAAGAAUAUUUUUAAUAGAUUUCAUACUCUAUCACAUGAAUUAGUGAGACUUUCCUUAAUGUUUCGUCUGUACUAGCUCAUAAGUGUGACACACUUCACACCCCUGAACAAGAGUAUUUAAUGCGGCUUUCAGACACCCUAGAACACAUUAAACCUAUUUCUCUAAUACCAAGUUUUACAUAACCCGAGACCACCCAUUAGUCAUAACAUUAUUCUUAGAGCCACAAAUAACCCCAAGAUAAUCUAUGGCCUGGCAUGCAUUAGGAUACUAAAGAAAUAACAAAAUACUAGGCAGAAACUAACUAAAAAAAUAGAUAGAAGUUAUAAUAAUGUAAAACUAACUAUCAUUAAUAUUAUAGAUAGAAUUAUUUGAUGAAAAAAUAUACUAAAAAUUUAGACAUUUGUUUGAAAGUCUCUACUCAUAAUGAGUUAUUGGUACAAGCUCCCAACUAACUCCAACUGAUUGAAAUAAAAUAAAAUACUAAAAUAAAUAAAUAAUAACUAGUCCUCAAAUGAUAAUGACUCACCAAACUACUAUUAGGUGGUAUGGGAAUGUGUUAAGUAUGAUUUGGGUGUUGAGCAUUCAAACCUAUAGUAUGAGACAAUAUAGUGAAAAGAUCUAUGCAGACAGUACUUUGAAUAUACUAAGUAUGCAAGAUGGGAAACUAACCUACAUAAACUGCAACAUGAAUGCAUGAAACAUGACAAACAUUAUACAAAACCAAGUAUAAACAUGUAGUGGAUGAAACUGAAUACUUGAAUACAAGGUCAUGAAUAAUCUAAAUUGAGACGUAAACUGAAACAUCAACAUAGUAUUGUGGGAGAUAACAAUAACCGACAUACCUAAAUAUGAGUGAAUCAAGAUUGAACAUGUAACCCUAGUUGGAAGGGGUCAGUACCUUUCCAAGGGUACUAGCAUAGGCUGGCGUGGAUCCACUAAACUGAGGUCCCAAAGGACUAAGGUUCAUGCCUCAAAUAAUGGGUUACUUUCUUAUAACCUAUGGUCACAUUGUAGUUCUGGAACAUUGGAACUUUUACUAAUGGUCUCAGCCUAAUUGACGGGUGUCGUUAUCCCUGUGUUCACUUGUUGCUAAGUACUACAAUAAACUAAAAGACACUAAAAUUUAAACUGAAUUGCCCAUCUUGAUAUUAUUCUAAAAGUAUCAAUUAUGGAUAAUUUGAAGUUCUUAAAGACAUGUAAACAAAUAAAUGUAUGAUUCCCUACCUAUCGAGUAAUCAUAACCCACCACCUUUGAUGAUAAUAGUUAAAUCUAACCAUAGUAGGGAAUUUCAUAAUUCAAAAAAAACUCAAUGAUUUAUCAACCAAAGGGAAUUUUUAUGGUCUAUGAACAUGGGGAGAGGUGAAUAUUAUGGAAAAACAUGGAAUCAUGGUAUAAUUAAAAAAUUAAACUGAGGAAAUUUAGGAAAACUCAUAUUUGACCCAGAACCAAAACUUAAGAAUUUAAAAGCUUUUGGGACUCAAUGGGAUAAAGGGACACAUUGAUGAAAUCCCAUAUACCUGGAGGUGGAAGUCUAGAAGAAAUCAUUAGAAUUUAAAGUUGAAGUUGAGAAACUUAACUUCGCUUUAAAGGAGAAUAAUCACCACUUUUUACUAUUUCCAAUUGAUUUUUUAAUGUAAUGAGGAAUUUUGGAAAAUUUAUGCUUAUAUACAACAAUUGUAAAGGCUUAAACGACAUAGAUUAGGAGUUAAAAUAAUGGGAAAAUAUUAAACAAUCCUUUUUUAAAUGUUCAACAAAAAAUUGAUACCAGUCAUAAUGACUCGCUAGGUCAGGUAAUAAGUCAUUCCUUGGAACUUUUGUCAGGGGUUCCAUACCAUAGUCCCUUAUUUUUAUGACCAAGAAUUCUUACCAAAAGACUAGUUACGAUUAAUAACAAGUAUUUAGAAGGAGUCUUAAUCAAGAACUUAAUUUCUUGGAUUCUUUCUGUUAUGAAGAUGGGUCUACCUAAUGAAUCAUUAGGACUGAUAAUGAAUCGUAUGAUGGACUCAUAACCACUAAGAUAAAAUAUAGAUCCCUCACUAUUGUGGAAAUGACUUCAUACAAUGAGUCAUCGUGUUUGACAAUGGGUCAUUGCUAGAGUUAUUGUCAAUGACAGUUAAUAGUCCCUUAGGAAAAUUGCCAUUCCUUUUUCCUGCACUAACGUAUUUAGGUGAGACUUAUGUUGUUGGAAAGCUAAUUCAAUAACAUAUAUUAUGGUGGAUCUAGAGAUAAAAUAUUGGGGUAAUACAGGCUUAAGAUCCGCCAAACUAACAAAGAUGCAGUUAUUGAUGGCAAAUCAUAAAGUAAAAAAGCUUAUAGGCAUAUCAUUUGAUGUUUUGGCCAAGGUAGAAAGCUUUAUUUUUCCUGUUGACCUUAUUUUAUUGGAAUUCAAGGUUGAUUUUGAGAUGUGCAUUAUUUUAGGAAGACCGUUACUUUCCACGGGUAUAGAAUUGGUGGAUAUAGAAAAAGAUGAGCUAAAGUUUAGGUUGAAUGGAUAUUGAGAAAGGUGAGCUAAAGUUUAGGUUGAAUAAUGAGGUACUCAAAUUCUUUGUUAUAAAAUUAUGAAGAAUCCAACAAACAUGAGGGUGGUUUCGAUAAUAACAUUUUAGAUAACUCGAGCCAACCAUCACCACCUUCUGGAAAUAAACCCGGUGUGUCUCUUGAUGCCCCAGUUGGGGGGGAGUCUACAUCUGAUACCUACAGCAUUGCAAGUAUGUCUCAACUUUGAUGCUUUAGGUCUUUUUUGAGUUAUACACUAAGAACGGUGGAUCUUGUUAUGAUACCCCUCCGAAUUUUUGUUAUGAACUCUAAGUAGUAAAGAUAUGAGAUUGUGCCAUUGUGGAUCUUGUUACGGCAUUAAUAUUAGGGACAGAAUAACUAUAACUUAUCAUUCCAUGAACUAGAUAUGGAGUUGUUGGUAAUGUAACCCUUUACUAUGUGAAUAUGAGGUGUUUACAUUAUUCCCAUUAUUUUUCAUCGACUAUAUUAUUAAACACACCUUUAAAUCACAAUUUCGAAGUUAAGGGUUUUGUGAGUAAAUCAAACAAAAUUUUCUUUAAUCUGAACCUCUUUUUAACCCAUUUUUACAUGAUAUUUCUCAUGUUGAAUCCUAUAAACUUAGGAAACAUGUUUUAAAAAUAAUUUUUCUUUUCCCCCCUUAAUUUUUAAUCCAUUUUGGACCUAACUCAAAUAUGGACAAAAUGGAUAUCAUAGUCAUUCUUUUAACAUGUAAAUGCAAUAUUUGAAUGUUGUAUUUGAUUCUAAGCCUAUUAAUUCGACAAAGGCUCCAUGUUGAAGAACUUUGGAAUGGGAUUUUAUUGUUUGGAGUUUGGUUUGGCUUUACUUCUUUCAGAUUGAGUAUUGUAGUUAAUAAAUAGAUAAAACAUGUUGUGGGUUGGUGGAAAAUAACUAUGUGGUUUAUAUUUUGAGAUUAUCUUUCUUAUUAUUUUGUGCCUAUUUGGGGGCUUAUAUUAUGCUAUUUUUGACUUGAGAUAUCUAAUAUUGAGUGUUUCCCAUGUGGGCUCUUUAUUUAAUGCAUUGGCCUUAUUUGUGCAUUUAAGUACCUUCAUUCUAGAUAUAAUGCCUAUCCAAUGAAUCAUUUUUCUAAUAUAGCCCUUAUUUGAGCAUUGUUCCCCCUAUUAGGAUAGAAAUACCUGCGUUAGGGGCUAAUAGGAUAUCUAUAGUGUCUUACAUGCAUGUUUAUUAUAAUGGUUCCUAAAUCGAGUUGAUAAUCAUGAAUUAUGGACAUGUUGAGAUAAUUUUUGGCUUACUUUUUAUAUAUAAACAUAUAUAUAUAUGUGUGUGUAUGCGCGCGUAUGUCUAUUGGAUAGAUUGGAUGUCAUCUUAGUAUUAGAAUUAAAUCCUCAUGACAUACAUAUACAUUCAUAAGAUAUUGGUACCAUUGAGAAACCUCAAUUUUGAAAGAUAAUGAGACACUUUUAUGAAAUCCCUCUCUAUGAACACAAGUUUGAAGGGUGAGUUGAGUUGAGGUAUGAGAUAUAGUAUAUGAGUUGUAAACCCUUAUGGGUCCUAUGUAAAAGUUGUAAGCUUGGUGGGUGUAUAUAAAAAGUCAUACGAUGGCUUUAAUCAUUCUCCCUAUCAACAUUGCAUUGCUUUGUAUUUACACAAAUAUUUUUCAUUUCUUAUUUAGUUUUCUUGUUUUGGAUUUAGUUAUAGUAUGUUCUUCAUAUAUAUCUAUUGUUUCUAUUUCUAUAUACAUAUAUUAGAAGUGGAAACAAUGUGAGCUACCAUUUGGGAAUUUUCUGAUUAUAAGUUUGUAAUACCCUGUAAUAUUCUAAAUUCGAUUCAGCUCUUAGUUGCAUGCUUAAGGGGUUCAAGGUUUGCAAUUUUCACUAAGUGUUUAGUCAUUUUAAGACCCCAAUACUUUUGAAAUUUUAUUUUGGCCUCCCAGAUCCUGAGACGUUAGUUUUUUAGUUGUUUCAUGUUUAAGGUUAUUAAAGGUGUGUCCCAGGGAAGUUUCAGGAUUUUUAAAGGGGAUUCGGGGUGCUUUGGGUCACAGAGGUAGCAAGCCCUUGCAAUAGGCCCACGGUGUGAGGAAAACUCCACAGGUGAAUAGGGUCUCAGCGUGAGGGCGUGUUAACUAGUGUAAGGGUCACGAUAUAAGGGCCACUCCAUCAGAGUAGGGGUCGUGACACAAUAGGUUAGUUCGGUCAUCCUCUUUCAGGGACACUCCAUCGGAGUAGAGGUUGCAACAUAAUAGGGUAGUUCGGCCAUCCUCUUUCAAUAAUGAAAUCAAUGGGAGAAUAAGUCUUUUUCCCUCAACUCAAUUCAUCCAUAAUACAAUUUUGGGCAUCCAUAGGGGCAUUAUUUGCCUUUUCCUCUCAAACUUAUUCUGAAGAAACCCUCCUCCUUCCCAAGAGCAAGAACCCAAGCUCCUUUCCCCAAGAAUCCAAGAGUUUAAGCACCCAAGUUCAAACAAUCUACAAGAAUUCAAUUAUUGAGGUAUGUGGGGUUUUGAACAAGGUUAAACUUUUAACAUUGUGCUUAAAUGCAUGACUUUUCAAGUUAAAUUUACAUAUUUUAAGAUAGAUUUCAUUCCCAAAUCUUUAUGUGUUAGAAAUAUAGAAUUAUCAUGUUAUCUAGUUAGUAAAGAGCAUAAGAUUUUCAUUUAUUCAUGUUUCCAACUACAAGUUUGAUAUUUAUAUUAAAUUCUAUUAUUUCGAUGAGAAAUUGCUAUUCUAUUAAGUUUGAUAUGCUUUUGUGCUCAACUUCACGUACUAUGCUUACAUACUCAAAUGUUCAAUGUUUUUGGUUAUCUAUAUUAUGACUUCAUACUACUAUUUUAAGAGUUUUUAUUAUGUUUUAUUGAAAACAUUCAGUGUUGGUGGUUUAUGAUCACCCGAUACCUAUGUGGUUACUUACUAUUUUCAAGUUGCAGUUUAUCCUUGUUAGUACAGUACGAAGUUAUGUUAAACCAUAAAUAAUACCAGUGUCAUUCAGUUGGGAGUAAGAUUUAGAAUCGAGAGGGAAGUAUGGGUUCAGCACACCCUACUCCCCAAAAACAACAUGCCCGCAUAGGAUUUUUGGUCUCACCAAGAUCAUUUUCCCUUGCCCAAAUGGGCUCAGUAUGGUGAUCACUCCAGUUUAGGUUCCACUUAGAUAUCACGGAUAAAACAACCCUCCUUAACGUGGGUGAUAUGUUUGACUCUAUAGUGAAAUCCGUGGUUUAUGUUGUUUACAUGAUAGCUCCCACAAUUUCAGUCACUAUUGGCAGUCUAUUUUAGUUCAGUUUUGCUAGACCAAGUAGUUAGUUUUCAGAAUUAAUUUAGUCAGUUGUACAAACUUCAUUAGUUAUUUAGAUAAUUUUAGUGUAUUAAAAUACUUGGUCUUGCUUAUUCAGUCCUAUAUGUUCAUGCAAUUACAUUCAAUUUUAGCCUAUAUUUGAGUUAGUCCUUACCUCACAAACUAGUAUAUUCAAAGUAUUGAUCGCAUACCUUUCUCAUACACUAUGUUGUCUUAUAAUAGUGGUUCGGAUGCACAGUUCCCUAACAAUCCUUAGACAUCUCAGCAGUUCCCUGCGGUAGUAAUGUGAGUCCUCAUCCAUUGAGGAUAUGAUACAUCAUUUUAUUCAUUUUCGUGUUUCAUUAUAAUUCAGUUAGUUGGAGUUAGUUAGAGGCUUUUAGAUAGUUAGACAAUCAUUCAGUUUUUAGUUAUUAUCAGUUGUUCAGACAGAUAGUAUUCAGAUUGACAAUAUCUUAUUUGGUUUAGUUUCCAUAUAUAUGGUUUACUUUCAUUUCAUUCAUUGCUCACAGCAGAUACCAGACCAUGGGAUAGCUUAGGUUCACAUAUGGCCUUGACCAUCGUGACGUGACUAGGGAUAGCCUUGGGUCAUGAAAAAACUUUGUAUCAGAGCCUAAGGUUUCAAAGUUUCCAAGGGUGUCUGAAAUCCACGUUGAAUAGAGUAUUAUGCACGGGUGUUAAGCGUGGCAUACUUAUGGACAAGAGGCUACGAGACAUUUUUAGGAAAGUUUUCCUUCUUUCAGUAUUCAUGUCGUAUAAAAGAUCGUGAGCUAUACUGAAUUCCAUUUUCUAACUCAUACUUCAAUCCGUUUACAGACAGUGCCUCCUAGAAGAAACAAUGAAAGAAGGAAUGGGGAUCAUCCCAUACCACCACCUAUUCUGAAGAUCCCCAGAAUGAUCAUGUUUCUCACACUUAGUUCAGGGCCCCUUUCACUGCCUUAGCCCAUUCUGUAGCUGCGCAUAAUAACCAGAAGGUUGUUUCCCCAGCUAAUCUAGUGGAAAAUACAAUUGUAUCUAGGAUUAGGGAAUUCACUUGGAUGAUUCCCCAUUUGUUUUCUGGGUCCAAAUCUGAGGAGGAUCCGUAGGAGUUUCUGUACAUGGUACAAAGGUGACAAAUAUCAUGGGUGUCACUUUAAAUGAAAGUACAGAGUUGGUUGCUUAUCAAUUAUAGAGAUUAGUUCACACCUGGUUUAAGAAGUUGAAGGAUGACAAGGGUAUGGAAGCAGAUCCUAUUGACACUACAUGACCCAGGGCCUUAACAUAAUAUGCAUCCUAAUUCCGAUCGGGAUUGGAGACCACCUACCCAACCCAACAUCCUGGCGCCUGCCUUUAGUUGGCUGAAUUUCUAACAUAUAACUAGAUAGUAUAACUAUCCUGAUUACAGACUCUAGGAUAGGUCAAUUAACAAGACUGACCCAAACUAGUCCGGCCGUCCCAUACCAACCGUCCAACCAUACCAAGUAAAAAUAAACCAUAGAUCAAACUAUAACAAAAUAAGUUACAUUAAUAAUUAAAUAAUCCUAAAAUGAAAUACGAUAGAACAACCAACAAUCUUGUCAACCGGUGUCAGCCCCAAUACAAAUACCAAUAAUAAGGCUGACACCAAUAUCGAUCCCGCCCAUGCCAACCCAUAGUUCUACAAAAGCCUCUAACCAAAAGAAUAUAAAUAUCUAGUUGGGACAUGCCCCAAGCCAUAGCCAAAACCAAGUUUCUUGUGUUUUAAUUUAAUUAAGAAAUGACAUCCAUGAAAUGGAGCCUUAUGAAUAGAUAGAAGCUCACAACUUCAAUCAAAAGUUGACCCCUGAGUGUCCAAAUGCAAAGCACGAGGUGUAAAAUGGUCAAUUCCUGUAUCGACUGGUGAUACAGCCACUCGAAGAUGGUUUAGCGGGAGAACGUUAGUAGGAACUCAAGAUAAGGAUAAAAUAAUCCCAAUUAUAAAACCAAGUAAAAAUAUCCAUAUGCACAUAACCAUACAUAUAUAUAACCAUGCCGGGAAACGGAACUGGGUUUAGCAUGCCAUUUAAAACCUUUACAUGGGAUGUGUAGUUUUUCCAUCCUAAAACCACCCAUGGCCUAUAUGAGUUCAGCUCCCCAUAUUGAAAGGGACCCAGAGCGUAAAGAUACACAACAAAAGAAAAGAACCUGGGAUGACUAGUAUAUCCCACAAAAUAUAAACUGUGACAUCAUGCACACCGUCACUAGGACCAAACCUCACAUCGGCAAAUAUGAGUUUCCAAUUUUGAUCCCCCGGGGUCUCCACCUUUAACGACUUUGCUAAACACCCCCUUUAAGCCUAAUUAAAACCAUUACCUAACAACCAAAUCAUUAUCCAUUUAUUAUUAACCAAGUCAAUUAGUAGUGGUACCAUCAUACCGACUAUAACUUAUAAGUAUUGUCCUUAGCCCAACCUUUUUGAGAUUAAGGGAUUCCCAUGUACCCAUAGAUCAUAUUAUCCAGUUCACUUGGGGUAUUCCCAUGUACCCCACAAGCAUGUUUAUUAAGAGAAACCAUUCCGAACCAAUUUAAACCAUUUAUAUCAUUUAGGGUUCCAUUACAAAAUUUAAACCAUGCAUAAGUUCCAUUGAAAAACCAACAUUAUAGUGAAAGCAUUGUUAUCCAAUUAACUUGGGGGAUUCCUAUGUACCCCACAAAUAUGUUUUGAAAGGCAAACCAUUCCAAAACUAUUUAAAACAUUCAUAUUAUUUAGGAUUCUAUUACUAAAUUUAAACCAUGCAUAAGUUCCAUUGAAAACCAAUAUUAUAGUGACGGCAUUGUUACAAGCAUUUUAUCAAACACAGUAGGAGCAUAGUAUUUCCAAAACCAAUGUCUGUUACUAAAUAACCAUUCCCAUGAAAAAAAUUAUCCAAAACCAUUAUUAAAAAAUAUAAAAGCAUAAUUAAAUCAGGGAAAACCAAAGAUGUUGACAGAGGGAAAUCACAAAGACAAACCCCAAUAAAACCAUAAUUUACUUUGCCCAAAACUCUAGAGAUGAUUUAAGAGUGUGUUCCAAAUGUUUAAAAAUAGAAUAGUAGGGAUAAUAACCUCCUAAUAGGAAUAUAAGUUAUGGGGACUUAUUAGGAUAAGUGGAGAAAUGUCCAGAUUUCCCUCACUUAAAUUGCAUUUAAUUACCAUCAUAGGGUACCACUAACCCUUAUGAAUCAUAUUUCCAGUACGAGUGGUACCAACCUCUGAUAAACUAGGCUUGCUCCUUAUACCCAACACUAUCCAAGGUUUGACACACCCAAACCCAAGUCAUAUCCCAGUGUAUGGCUAGUACCCAAAAACCGUACCCCUGGAUGAAUAGAAUCUAAGAGGUUUGAACACUGACCACCAUAUGAGUCAUGGGUAUGACUCAUACCCUGGCUUACGACUCAUAGUGAGAUACUAAUACAUAGAUCAAACCUAAGUCACUAAGUAUAAGGUUAAGUAAAGAAACAAAACAACCUGUAUCUACUGAUAUGACUCGUACCACCGAAGUCAUACCUAUUUCUGUGACUAAAUCCAUCCUACCAACCAACACUGGUCAAUACACAAUUGGACCAUACCACCCGUACCCCAGUGUACAACUCUCUACCAAAGUCAUAUCAUUCCCAGAAACCAUAAAUUUAGCAAAUUUUCUAAGGUCUAGAAAAUAGGGUGUUUCACAUAUGGAGUGAAAGGAGUUUGCCACGGCUUUCCUAGGCAGGUUCUUCCCACUAGAUUUGAGGAAAGAUAAGGUUCAGGAGUUCAUAAAAUUAAAGCAUGGAAGUAUAAGGGUGAAGGGUUACUGCUCAAGUUCACUCAGUUGGCAAGUUAUGCAUCUAUGAUGGUGGCUGACAAUAGUUCCAGGAUAAGUAAGUUUGCAUCUAGUGUAUUUGAUAGUGUAGUCAAGGAGUUUAGGACCACCAUGUUGAUUAAGGAGAUGGACCUAUCUAGACUUAUAGUUCAUGCUUAGAAUAUAAAGAAGAAGAAGAUUAAGGAUAGAGAGAGAGAAUAAGAGAGCCAAAAUAGGUAGUUUUAAAUUUUCUCAACAAAUGUUGGAAGGAGGAAAUCAUUUUGAUUUUCACUAGAAAUUUUUAGCCCAAGCUCCAUUUUCAGCUAGUGUACCAGUACCUAACUUCAGGCAGGAUAAUUGAGAUAGACCAUGAGGCUCUAAGCAUAGGGUAAUUUAAGCAAGGGCCGUACCAAUUUGAUGUCAUUCUUGGCAUGGAUUGGUUUCACUCAUUUUAUGCCUUAGUAAAUUGCAAAAAUAAGAUUAUUCAAUUCCAAUUUCCUAAUGAGCUAGUUAUCGAAUGAAGGAUUAGUGCUUCACUGUUUAGGGGUAAGAUUGUUUCGUAUCUUAAGGCAAGGAGAAGGAUAUCUAAAGGGUACAUUUACCAUCGCCUCCAGGUUAAGGACUCAAAUUCUGAGACUCCGAGCCUUGAGUUAGUUUCUAUUUUAAGGAAUUUUCUAGAUGUAUUUCUUAAAAAUCUUCCUAGAGUUUCUCUUGAAAGGGAAAUUGUCUUCGGAAUAGAUCUACUUCUGGAUACCUAUCCUACCUCUAUUCCCUCUAAAUAAAUGGCUCUAAACAAGCUUAAGAAAUUGAAGAAAUAGUUGAAAGAUCUUUUAAACAAGGGUUUCAUCAGGACUAUCAUUUCUUUAAAAGGUUCUACAGUCAUAUUCAUGCGUAAGAAAGACGGUUCUCUCAGAAAUGCUCAUUGAAUAUCGCAAGUUAAGAAAAGUCACCAUCAAGAAUUAGUAUAAAUUUCCCAGAAUUGAUAACUUAUUUGACCAACUUCAGUGGCAAGUUAUUUCUCUAAGAUAGACCUUCGAUUUGGCUAUCAUCAGCUUAGAGUUAGAAAUGUGACAUUCCAAAGACAAUAUUUAGAACUCUUUAUGGUCACUUCAAAUUUUUAGUUAUGUCUUUUAGACUAACAAAUGCCCCUGCAUCUUUCAUGGACUUGAUGAAAAGGGUGUUCAAGCAAUACUUGGACAUGUUCAUUAUUAUCUUCAUUAUUGGUAUCCUUAUUUAUUAUUGUAGUGAGAAUGAACAUGCAGACCACCUGAGAGUUAUAUUGCAGACUCUUAGAAACCAUUGGUUAUUCAAUAUAUUUAGUAAGUGUAAAUCUUGUCUAAGAUCAGUAGCUUUCCUUGGUCAUAUAGUCUCCAGUGAUGGCAUUUGAGUUGACCCUUAAUAUACUAAAGAAGUAAGAAAGUGGACUAGACAUAUCUUUCCAUUAGAUAAUAGAAGUUUCUUAGGUUUGGUUGGCUAUUAUAGAUGGUUUGCUGAAGGUUUUUCUUCUAUUACCUACCCCAUGUCUAGACUAACCCAGAAAAAGGUUAAAUUUUAGUGGGUUGGAUUUUUACGAGAAGAGUUUUUAUGAGUUAAAGACUCCACUCACUUUCACCCUAGUCUUGACUUUUCUAGAUCACACAGAUGGAUUUAUUAUUUACUGUGAUACUUCUAGAGUUGGUCUUGGUUCUGUUUUGAUGUAGAGAGGCAAGUUCAUAGCCUACGACUCUAGACAUCUUAAAAUCCAUGAAAAUAAUUAUCCUACCCAUGAUCUUGAGUUUACAGUUGUUGUUUUUACCUUGAAAAUUUUGAGGCAUUAUCUUUAUGGAGUUUAUGUUGAUGUGUUAAUAAAUUACAAGAGUUUAUAGUAUGUGUUCACACAGAAAGACCUAAAUCUUUGUUAGAGAAGAUGCCUUGAGUUGAUGAAAGAUAAUGAUAUGAGUAUGUUGUAUCAUUCGGUCAAUGCCAAUGAAGUGGCAGAUGCCCAAUUAGAAUGGCAAUAGGUAGUGUUGCUAAUGUUGAAGUUGAUAAGAAAUAGUUAGCCUAUGAGGUUCAUCAUUUAUCAAGGUUAGGAUGGAGUGUUGCCCAUCUUUUAUCAUCAGUUGGUUGAUUCAGCAGAAGGUAGUAGAUGGGUUUAGAAUGGAGCAAAUUUUUCAUGUGUUGUUGAAGUAAAAGAAAAGCCAGAUAGGGAUCCUAGUUAAUUUAAGUUGAAGGAGGAGGUUAGAAAGCAGAAGGUGGAGGUUUUCUCCCAAGAGGGAGAUGGUGUUCUUCAUUGUUAGGGUAGGUUAUUUGUUCCGUGUGUUGAUGAUUUGAGAUAGUGAAUACUUGUAGAAGCACAUGGUGCAUGAUAUUCUAUUCAUCCCAAACCCACUAAGAUAUAUCAUGACUUGCAGGAAAUCUAUUGGUAGAGUGGUAUGAAGAAAGACAUUAUAGAUUUUGUGGCUAAGUGUUUGAACUAUCAGCAUGUUAAGUUUGAGCACCGAAGGCCUAAUGAUAUACUUCAAGAGUUUAGCAUCCCCACUUGGAAGUGGGAGAUGGUGAAUAUGGAUUUUAGGACAAGAGUGCCUCGUACACAUCAUUAUCAUAUUUUAAUUUGGAAAUGCCAGUUCAUACUCUUCUUCAGCUGAGGAAAAUGCUAGGCUUUAUCUUAGGGGUUGGUGAAAUUACAUGGGGUUUCAUUAUCUAUUAUUUCAUAUAGAGGUACUCAUUUUACCUUUUAUUUUUGGAAGGCUUUUUAGAAGGGUCUUGGUACCCAAGUUCAUCUUAGCCAAGAUUUUCAUCCUCAGACAAAUACUCAAGAAGAGAGGACUAUUUAGACCUUAUAGGACAUAUUGAGGGUGUGCGUGAUCGACUUUGAAGGUAGUUGGGAUCACAAAUUUCCUUUGAUUGAUUUUGCCGACCAUAAUAGUUACCACUCCAGUAUCAUAUUUCUUUGUUUGAAGGUCUUUAUGGGAGAAAAGAUGGAUCUCCUAUUAUAUGUUUAAAGCAGGUGAGACUACUUUGAUAGGGCCAGACUCGGUGUUUGAGUCAAUGGAAAAAGUUUAGUUGAUUCGAGAAAAGAUAAAGACAACCAAAGUCAUCAAAAAUCUUUUGUAGAUGUGAGAAAAAAAGAUCUUAAGUUUGAGGUUGGGUACCUGAUCUAUUCGUAGAUUUAGCCUAUGAAGAGAAUGAAAUGAUUUGGAAAGAAGGGUAAGCUUAGUCCCUUCUAUGUGUGACCAUAAAAAAUCUUAAACCAUUUUGGGAAGGUAGUGUAUGAACUUGAGUUUUCUAUAGAUUUGGCAUCAGUACACAUGGUGUUCCAUAUUUGUUUGUUAAAUAAAUGCAUUGGUGAUUCAUCUUUGGUUGUUCCUUUAGAAAAUGUGGUAAGGGAUAGCCUUUCCUAUAAGAAGUCCCAAUAUAGAAUCCUUGAUCAUUCGAUUGUAGGCUAAGGAAUAAAGAGGUUUCUUUGGUUAAGGUGCUAUGGAGGAAUCAGUCCAUAGAGGGAUCUACUUGGCAGGUAGAUGCAGAUAUACCAGCUCGGUAUCCUUAAAUUUUCUUCACGAAUUCAGACUAAGCUUUAGGUAAUGGUUUGAGUUAGAUUAAAUUUUUUCAUUCUCUAUUUUAGCUGUACAACUAUUCACAUGUCACAAUAUGGAUUCAUGAAGUUAGUACAGCCUUUGUAAUAUGUAUCAUAUUUUAGACCCAGUUAUUUGAUCAUGUUUAAUCUUAUUAGUCUUUAGUAUAGACUCCAAGUCUCUAAAGUAUAUCAAGAUUAACCAGACUCAUUCGAGGAUGAAGGGUCCCAGGGAGGACAUAUAGUAAUACCCUAUAAUAUUCUAUGUUUGAUUGAACACUUAAUUGCAUCCUUAAGGGGCUCAAGGCUUGAGAUUUUAACUAAGUGUUGAGGACUUAGUCACUUUAAGACCCCCCAAGACUUUGCAAAUUUUUAUUUUGGACUUCGCAAACCUGAGACAUUGGUUCUUGAGUUGUUUUAUUCUUAAGGCUAUUAUAAGUGUGUCCUUGGAUAGUUUUGGAAUUUUGUAAGGUGAUUCAAGGUGUGUUUGGGUCAGAAAGGCAAAAAGCCAUUUUGAUAGACCCAUAGCACGAGGGAGACUCCAUAGGUGAAUGGGGUAGCGGCAUAAGGUUGUCUUAAAUAGAGCAUAGGUCACACAAUGAGGGCCAACCUAUUGGAGCAGGAGUUGCGACACGUCAGGGUAGUUUGGCCAGUAAUGAAAUCAUUGGGAAAAUAAGUCAUUUUUAACCAACCCAAUUCGUCCAUACCACAAUUUCAAGCAUUUAUAGGGGCAUUAUUUGCCACUUACUCUCAAAAUUACUUUAAACAAACCCUUCUCCUUCCCAAGAACAAGAACCCAAGCUCCUUCCCCAAGAAUCCAUGAGUUCAAGCACCCAAGUUCAAAUAAUCUUCAAGAAUUUAGUUAUUGAGGUAUGUGGGGUUUUGGACAAGGUUAACCUUUCAACCUUAUGCUCAAAUUCAUGACUUUUUAAGUUAAAUUUAAAUGUUUUAAAAUAUAUUUCAUUCCCAAAUCUUUAUGCGUUGAAAAUAUAGAAUUAUCAUGUGAUCUAGGUAAUAAAGAGCAUAGAAGUUGCAUUUAUUCAUGUUUCCUACUACAAUUUUGAUGUUUAUCUUGAAUUCUAUUAUUUCUAUGAUAAAUUUCUAUUCCCUUAAGUUUGAUUUAUUUUCAUGCUCAACUUCACGCACUAUUCUUAUAUCCUCAAAUGUCCAAUAUUUUAGGUUCUCCGCAUUAAGACUUCAUACUACUAUUUUAAGAGUUGUUAUUGUAUUUUGUUGAAAACAUUUAGUGCUAGGGGGUUAUGAACACCCGAUACCUAUGUGUUUACUUACUAUUUUCAAGUCAAAGUUGAUCCUUGUUAGUAUAGUACCACAUUAUCUUAAACCAUGAAUAAUAACAGUAUCAUUCAGUUGGGAGUAAGAUUAAGCACCGAGAGGGAAGUAUAGUUUUAACAUGCCCUACUUCCCAGAAACUAUGUUCCCUCAUAGGAUUUUGGUACUCGCUAAAGAGAAUUUCCCCUUACCCAAAUGGGCUUAGUAUACUAAUCACUUCAGUUUAGGUUCCACCCCGAUGGCAAGGAUGGAACAACCCUCCUCGACGUGGGUCAGACAUCGGACUCCAUGGUGAUAUCCAUGGUUUAUGUUGGCUACAUGAUAUCUCCCACUGUUUCAAUCAGUAUUAAUAGUCUAUUUCUAUACUAUUUUUCUGGACCAAGCAGACUGUUUUUAGUAUUAAUUUAGUCAAUUGUACAAACUGCACCAGUUAUUCAGAUAAUGCCAAUAUAUUAAAAUACUUGGUCUUUCAUAUUUUGUUCUAUAUGUUCAUGUAAUUACAUUUAUUUUUAGACUGUAUUUUAGUUAAUACAUACCUCAUGUACUAGUACAUUCAAAGUAAAGAUUGCAUACCUUUCUUUUGCACUAUGUUGUCUUAUAACAUAGGUUGGGAUGCAUAGUUCUCCGACCAUCCUUAGACUGCUUAUCAGUUCCCUGUGACAGUAGUGUUAAGUCCUCAUCCAUCAAGGAUGUGAUAUGUUAUUUCAUUCAUUUUCAUAUUUCAUUAUGAUUGAGUUAGUUUGAGUUAGUAAAGAGGUUUGCCCAAUUAACUCCUAAUGAUUCUUAGAGUUUUCAGAUAGUUAGACAGUCAUUUAGUUUACAGUUAUUAUCAGUCAUUUCCAUAGACAGUUUAGUUUUGGUAUUUUUAUUAGCUACUUUAGACAUGCCUUAUAUAUGUUUUAAUAUUCAGAUUGACCGUAUCUCAUUUUGUUUAUUUUCCGCAUAUUUGUUUUACUUUAUUUUAUUUAAUGCUCACAAUAGGUACCAGACCAUGGACUAGCUUAGUUUCACUUAUGGCCUUAAUUACCAUGUCAAAACUAGGGUGUAGCCUUGGGUCCUGACAAGGUUAGUGAAAAUAGUGUCACUUUACUUACCUUAUUUUCUAAUUUUUCUUGGUUGGCCUAUGAUAACUACUAAGUAAAAGUGGACUAUACUCACACAUGCUGUGGCCUUUUGUCUUAGAUCCCAGUUUGAGUACAACGCAUGGCAUUUGAGAUUUUAAUUAGAGUUUGAUCAGAUUUGAGGUACAAGAUCAUCCUAUUGCUUAUGUCAGAUUCUAGAUAUCAUUAUAUCUUUUAUCUCAUCUUUAUUUUGGAUAUAGAGAUAAAUUUUGUAUUUCUAUUUUUAGAUAUUGACUGGAUUUCUUACAUUAUAACACUAGGUUUAGCAGGGUUUAUGAUAUAUUUUUAGACUUCCUCUAGUAAUAUUAUUCUUGUUUACGUCUAGAUUCAUUCUAGAAGUAUUUCCUUAGGAUAUACUAUUGUUGUUUUGGGUUUUUCUUUAUUAUUUUAGGCGAUUUACUUACUCAUCAAGGCUUAACCAUGAUUAGUGCCAUCAUUAUCUAUUAGAGUAUCUAGGUUGACCGAUCUCUAAAGUGUAAGAGAAGGAUGUCUAGUAGAGUCUCGUGGAUUGGUAUGAGGACGUCUGUAUCUAUAUUCAAGAUCCUAUAUGAUAUCUUGUAAUACCCCAAGUUUUGAGCUCUAGACAAGUCGUACGAGUUGUUCUUAUCUAAUGUUCUAAGUUAUAUUCCACUCUUUUCUGCAUAGAUGGUGAGGACUAGAUCUCUAGAGGCUAGUUAUAUUCAACUACCGUUGAGGCUAAACCCUAGAUUAAAGGGAGAGGCAGGGGUUAGGAAUAGGGAACGUCCCAUAUUAGAAGACGUUCUAGGAAGUCCUCUCUAAAGAUCGAGGUAGUGUAUUAUAGUAUUGGUUAUUAGAUAGGAUAUGUAAGGCUUGCUUAGGUCCCACAGGGUUGAGUUGACACACCAAUCAUUUAGGGUUUUUUAGUUAGUCUCUUGAGUUAUUUGAAGGGUAUUCCAUCGUGUGUACCUGGUAUUUCUCAGACUUUGAGUGAUGUUCCAUUAUUAGUUCCUCAUGUUCCAUGGUUUCAUGGCACGUUCAAUGCUUAAAACAAGGAUAUUAUGCAAUAACAUAUGUACUUUUGUUUGGUUUGAUCCACAACUCGACCCACGAGUCGUAGGGUGAUACCAACCUGAUUUUCCUACAUAGUUAAGAUAAGAUGCAUUUUGUAUUUAUAAAUACACUCAUAUAGGGUGCUACCGACCUGAUUUUCCUACAUAGUUAAGAUAGGAUUCGUUUUGUAUUUAUAAAUACUUUCAUGAUGUUUUAUGAUUAGUUUACUCACUUUUACAUUAUUUUUAGGUUCUUAGACACAUUAUUAAUCCUUUUUUUAGGGAUUUUAAUCAAUUUGACAUUUUUGCAUUUUAAUCCAUGGAAAAUCUAUGGAUGCUUCUAGCGUGCUUGCAAUCGUGAGUACCAACAACCCAUAACUAGGGUUGGGGGAACAAUGGUGAUUUAACAAAAUAUAGUUAAGUAUAAAGUCAUUCUACACUAGUGUGCAUACAUGUAUUGGUAUUUCCUUCAAUUUGAUUGGUUCUAGAUAAAUACAAACGUUAGGAACUCAUUUGUAAUCUAGACUUUCCAGAGAGAGAGAGAGAGAGGUAGAGAUUGGGAAAAAUAAAAUAGCAACAGAAAUUUAAAGCUUUCAACUUUCAUCUAUUUAACUUGAGCCUUAACUGGGAUAGUUAGUCUGAGAUCACAAAAUAAGGGUUAGUAAUGUAAUGAUCUGAGUCUGAGAGGAGAUGAAUUUAAUUUAUCUAAUUCAAGGUUGAGAUAUGGUUGGUUAAUGCAUAUCUUAUUUGAUUUUUCGUGUAAGGCAUUUAGAUAGUCAGCUAGCACGAAUGAUAUGUAGAAUUAUGAAAUUAAGGGGGACAAAAUUCUAGUGCUCGGCUCAAAUUGAUAACAAUCCAAUCAACCAGCAACUUUUACUAUUAUAAAUAACUUUCACAAAACCACUUCUUUUAUUUUCAUAAUUCCCAAUUACAUCGACAAACUCUUGACAGGAUUUCGGCGUAUUGCUUGUAGGAUUGACCCCAACCUUGUUGGGUUCUAUAUUUGAUUCAGCGAUUGCUUUAUACUUUGUGAGAAGUGAAAUAUGGGUGACAUCAAAUUUUGGUGCCGUUGUUGGGGAAUACAGUUAUAAAGUGAUGGAUUAUGUUUGUUAAAAUUGUUUGUUUUGUUUAUUGAUAUUUUAUUUUCUACUACUUAUAUGGUAUAUGUUGGUGUAUGCCCAGUACAGGGAGUCAAGGCAAUCCACUAAUUCAAUCACUAUUUGGAAUUAAUUGAGGACAUGGUUUUUGGACAAAUUUUUGUCGCUCUCUAGAAUAUUGUAGUUGAAGGAUGAGAUCUAUAAAUUCAGAUAGUUUUAUUUAGAGGAACUAUAUAAGACAUGGUUGGUGUUUAAAAAAAAGCUACAGAAAUUUCCAAAUAACAUCAUCAUGGGUAGAAACUUGCUGGAGAUAUUCUACAGGCUAUGAAUGCUAAUAUGAAGGUUUUAACAGAUACCAUCAUAGGUGGUGCCUUCAUGAGUCUUUAUGGGGAGCACACUUCUAAAAUCUUAGAUUGUCUUAUUAAAACCAUCGAAGGAUGGCAUACUUAGGAGGUGUAUAAAUCAAUAAGUACUUACUUUAUUAGGGAAUCCAAUGAGCAGGUAGCAUUAAAUAAGAUGAUAACUCAAGAGGUAGCAUAAUUGAGAACUGAGAUUGGCCUACUUAUAAAGUAACUUUCAGUGAUUGGAUCAAAAAAGGUGAAUAUAGUGGGUUCAAGAAAGAAAAUUCAUACUACAAGGAAGUAUCUAUGAAUCUUAAUAUUGAGACGAAGGGUUUUUAAACAAAGGGAAAAGGGCCAAGGGUCUAAUAAAGAUAAUUAGAACUUAAGGCAAGAGAAUCAAAGUCGGAACUUUUAUCGAGAUAGGCAUAGAUAUUGGAGUAGUUUAUGUGAUUACGACCCAUAGGAGAAAAGAUAAUGACGAGUAAAAGGUGAACUUUAUGUCCCACUAGGGAACUUGGAUGAUGAAUCUUGGUGUUUAAGAAUUAAAGCAUUGUUUUCAAAGCUUGUGAAGAGUUCAAAAAGUCAAGAGAGUUGCCUUAAUGAAACUAAGGCAGAUAUUUAUGGUUUGAGACUGAAAAUAGAGUCUUAUACAACUGCUAUUAAGCAUCUUGAGCAAAACUUUGGGCAGAUGUCUACCAUAUUAAAUAAUUGUUAACAAGGACCUCUUCCUAGUAACUCUAUUUAGAAUUCAAAGAACAACAAUCACUGUCUUGCUAUUACUACUUGAGGUUUUAUGGCCACUGUUGAUCCAAUUAUGCCUAUGGUUGAUAAUAUAAGGAGUGAUUCCAUGAGCAUUGAGGGUGAAACAAAAAAAACUAGUUAUGAAUGAUGAGGCCUGUAAGAAGCCUAUAGUUACAAAAAAGGAGCUGACACUGAAAAAGUAAAGGGUAAAGAAGUCACACCACUACUUAAACCUAUUCCCCGACCUCCUCAAACUUUUCCCCAAUAAUUUAAGAAAAAAAUCAUACAGGUGAAAUAUUAGAAGUUUAUGUCCAUGAUAAAAGUUUUAUGUGAACAUCCCUCUCAUAGAAGCACUCAAACAAAUAUUGGGAUAUACAAAGUUCCUGAAAGAAUUGGUCAUAAAGAAAGGAACUGUUAGUUAUGAGUCUACUGGUAAUUUGCACCAUUGUAGUGCAAUUUUCUCAUUCUCUUAUACAAAAGAAAUAUGACCCUUAUGCCUUUAUAUUUCUUACACAAGUUGGUCAUAUAACUUUUCCAAGGAUUUUUGUGGACCUAGGUGCAAAUAGUAACUUGAUGCUACUGGUAGUUUUCAAACAACAAGGCUUAGGACCCCCAAACCAACAAAUGGAUGGUUAUUGAUCGUAAAUUAUAUAGUCAAGAAUACUAUGAGCAUAUUAUUAGAUAUUUUGUUCAAGGUAUAAAACUUCAUAUUUUCUACUAAUUUUUUUGUCAUGGACUGCGAGGUUGAUUUUGAGAUGCCUAUAAUUUUGGGGAGACCUUUCCAAAUCACUAGUAGAGAGUUAGUGGAUAUCGAAAAAGGGUGAGAUAAAUUUCAUCCUGAAUUAUGAGAAAGUCAAGUUCAAUUUUUGUAGAGCUAUAAAGCAGCCAAUAGACAUUAGGGUUGUUGUGGUAAUAAAUAGUUUAGAUGACUCGAUCCAGCCAACACCACUUAAUGGUAUUAAGACUAAUGUGCCUCUUCAAUCUUUUAAUGGGGGAAGUCCAUAUCCGAUUCCUAGAGCAUCACAGGUAUAACUCCACUCCCAUGUUUUAUGUCUUUCCUCGUUAAGCAUUGAGGACAGUGCAUUACCUUUUAGUUGGAGAUGGGGGUGUACCACUAUAUAGGAUUUUUGUUGUUGUGUCUCUUUCCCAUAGAGUGUUCUAUCAUAGUAGAGCUAACACAUAUAGGAUAUUGUGUUUUGUUCAUUUUUGUGUUCUGUUUGUUAUGUUUGAGUAGGAGAAAACUAAGGAACUUUGGUGCAGUCAAAUUUUUGUUUUUAUGAUGAAUAAAAAAUACCCCUCCUAAUUAUUUACGAACUGUGUGUUAUGAAUAUAUGAGAUUAUGACCAUUGUGGAUAUCAGUAUUAGGGACAGAAUAACCAUAAAUUAGCAUUGCAUGACCUAGACAGGUAGUAGUUUGAAAUAUAACUCUAUAUUAUCUGAGUGUGAGGUGUGUUUACUUAGUUCACUUUGUGUGUACAAUCCAGAACAUGAUCAGUUAGUCUUUCCAAGGUUUUAGGAUAGUUAGUUGGGACAUGAUUACAAUUCAUUCUUGAAUAAGUCCACUUAUAGCCUAAACGAUCGACCAAAUGAAAUAAGUAUUACCUUAUCUCGAAUUUGAGAUAAUAUAGUCCUACUUUCUUGUAUUAACCCAUUCACCUUCCCACUUUUAAUUACAAUAAACCUGUUUUGUCUUUUAUCCCUUCUUGGGAAUUGUGUACCUCAACUCAGGAAAAUAGCCAAUGUUAACGGUGGCUAUAACAAGGGUGCGUAGUUGGAUAUAGGUAUGAAAAAAAUGUUAAGAAAAGAAAAUUAGGUAGGGUUGGGUGUGGUAGAAGAAGAAAAAUAGAAAAAAUAUGAAAUAAAGGAAAGAAAAGAAUAUAAAUAAAUAUAAAGAAUGAAGCAAAACCACACCCAAUCUACGUAUAAAUAAUGGAGAAAAAAAGAGUAUAAAAUGAGCAUGUUUGAAUAGUGGAGCCAAAAAAUAUAAGUAUAGUGUCAAGGAGGGUUGAGUCACAAUUAUCCAUAUGUACCAUACCUGCUGCCAAGCCUACACUAUAAGAUGAGAAAAUUCCAAUACUUAUCCUAGUCUAGUUGUUCAAAAAACUACGAUGUAAAAUAUAAGGGAAAAAUCGUAGUUUUUUAUGCACAUUAUCUGAACUUAUUUGGGCAUGAGAGUUACUAGAUGUAGUCCAUGCGUUGAUUUUCAUUAUGAUAUUAUGAGAGUAUAGGACUUCUUUGUUGUAAGGGUACAUGGGUUUCAUUGUCUGCUGCUUAUCUAUUUUUGGGAAUGUUACUUAUAUACAUUUUUUUUUCUUGUAAUCUCAUGCCAUCACUUGAUCCCUUUUGUGUCAUAAAAUUUUGCUACAUGUAUACACCUAAUUGUUUUGAAAGUUGUUCAUUGAAAGGGAUUGAAAGUUCAUGGUGAACUAAAUGAAUUAUUGUUGCAGGUACGUUAGGUUUAUCUUAGUUAAGCAUUGUGGGUUUUUAGGUGUGUUUUAUUUUCUUGAGAACAUGCAAAUCUUCUAAGUUGGGGUGUUGAUGUACCAUGGUUUUGAUGCUUAAAAUAAGGAAUUUAUGCAAGAACUUAGGUAUUUUUAUUGGGUAUGAUGUGUUUUUGUGAUGAUUGUGCAGGAAAAUAGGUUUUGGAGGAAAAAUUGAGGUUGAAGAAUAGAAAUCUACUUAGUUAGUAACCCACGAGUUGAUUGAAAACUUGAGUGUGGGACCUACAAUUCGUGAGUGGGCCUGUGACUUGAGUUCUAAAGUUGAAAAAAAAAUUCUGAUUACUAUUAUAUGAACCAAGACUUAUGACUUCUACCCAUAACUCAUGGGUAGUAUUUGCGUUUCAAGUACUGAAGAUUGAACCUGAGCAUGAUUUCCAUGAUUUAGAGCAAAGACGAAUUAAUCUGAUCUGUUACUCAACCCAUGAGUCGUAAGGUGUUGCCGACCUGAUUUUCCUAUACAAUUUAUGAUAGCAUUCAUGUUAUAUAUAUUAGUACUCCCAUUAUGUUUUAUGAAUAGUCUACAUACGGAAUUAUUUUGAGGUUUUUAGACACAUUAUUAAUCGAUGAACUCUUGAUAUUGGUUUUUUAAGGUUUAAAUCAAUUUAAGAUUUAUGGUUUUUCAUUUUAUUCUUAUAAGUGCACAAUAAUGCUUUCAUCUAUGUAUUCUUAUUAUGUUUUUAUGAUCAUGAGUAUUUUAUCCCCAUAACUAGGGCUGUGGGAACUGUGAUGAAUUAAAAAAAUAGGGUUAAGUAUAAAAUCAUUCUAGAUUGGUGUACUUGCAUGUAUUAGUAUUUCCUUUAAUUUGAUUGCUUUCUUGACGAUUAAAAUGUUAUGAACUUGCCUUUAAUCUAAACUUGUUAUAGUUAGAAGUAGUGAUUAGGAAAAUAAAAUAACAAUACAAAUUUGAAGCUGUCAACUUUGAUCUAAUUAACUUGAGCCUUAACUGGGAUAUUUAAUCUGAGAUUACGAAACAAGGGUUACUAAUACAAUGCUCUAAGUUAAGAAAAGAUGAUUGAAAUUUGUAUACACCAAGGUCAAAAGAAGAUUAAGUGAUACAUUUCUUUUUAUGUUUUGCAUACCAGGCAUCUUGAGAGUCUGCUAGCAUGAAUAAUAUAUGGAUUUAUGAAAUCAUGGAGACAAUCCCAGUGUUUGACUCAUAUUGAUCACAAUGCAGUCAACUAACAACGUUUACUUUUACAAUUUACUUUCACCAAAGCCCCCUUUUUAUUUGCAUAAUUCCCAAUUACAACAACAAACUCUAG
Molecule: long non-coding RNA, 24612 nt
Filed under: Capsicum annuum
Lineage: Eukaryota; Viridiplantae; Streptophyta; Magnoliopsida; Solanales; Solanaceae
Description: long non-coding RNA (CANN_LNC000937)
Source: RNAcentral